GAUGAACGCUAGCUACAGGCUUAACACAUGCAAGUCGAGGGACCGGCGCACGGGUGAGUAACACGUAUCCACCCUGCCCUUUACUCGGGGAUCUCCUUUCGAUAGAAAGAUUAAUACCCUAUGUUAAGGCUGGGGAUGCGUUCCAUUAGGUUGUUGGUGAGGAAACGGCUCACCAAGCCUUCUAUGGAUAGAGGUUCAUAGAGAAAGGGACCCAGCAGUGGAACGGAGACACGGUCCAAACUGCUACGGGAGGCAGGAGUGAUGAAGAUUGGGCAAUGGGCGUUAGCCUGAACCAGCCAAGUAGCGUGAAGGAUGAAGGCUUAUUGGUCGUAAACUUCUGUGAAAUAAGAAGAUGUAUUAUAUGAAUAAGGAUCGGCUAACUCCGUGCCAGCAGCCGCGGUAAUAC
RNAcentral lists this ribosomal RNA (406 nucleotides) under uncultured bacterium. RNAcentral's name for it is "partial 16S ribosomal RNA". It matches the Rfam family "Bacterial small subunit ribosomal RNA", at positions 28 to 526 of the family's 1533-position model. The record is from RNAcentral.